UCUAUGAGGACCAAUUCCUUCCAAUCUCACGCAGCGCGGAGUUUCCAAGUUUUACCAGCAAUACAUUCUCGUCCUUUCUUUCGACGCUCCUAGUCGUUCAUCCUUUUUUUUUUCAUCUCGCAUCGUCGUUGUAAAAAAAGAUAUUUUAACUCACACCCUUUACUCUACCUUUUUUUUCUUUCUUUCUCCUUUUUCGACAACUGCGCCGGAAGGAACGUAGAAACGCAGAGAGGGGGAAAAUAGAGACGGAAAUUAUACGAAUGCGUAAGUGUGAGAGAGUGUCAAGACCGAGGGGUUUUAAGGGUGACAUGUCCCCGGGUUAGUGUUGGGCGCGCCAGUUCUGUGCCCGGGGCUGUGGGCUGACCAUGUCGAAGCGGGAUACUCUGUAGAAAACGGAGGUUGUUUUGGUGUGGUUUUGUGAUCCCGAUUAAAAGGUG
Molecule: long non-coding RNA, 437 nt
Organism: Penaeus monodon (black tiger shrimp)
Lineage: Eukaryota; Metazoa; Arthropoda; Malacostraca; Decapoda; Penaeidae
Exons: 2
Source: RefSeq, a predicted model, not a curated record